GUUAAACGGAAACAAAUCGGAAUAAGCCGUACGCAUAGUGAUCGGAAACAAUUCCGUUCCCCACCACUUGGAGGAUCCGUUUUUGACCGACAAUCUAAACGGAUAUGUUUCCGUGGACAGAUGAAGACUGUGUUGCCCCCUCCCCUCAAAUUAAUUCAAUCGAAGGGGCUGUCGCAGUGGCAGUCGACACCUAAUGCCUAAUGAAUGACAGAUCCUUUCAUUCACUAAAUCUUGGUGGUCAAGCAAGAUGGUGUUGGGAACACACAGUGACCCAGAGUUGUUUACGUCUUGUGCACAUUCUGUGUUGGCUUCUAUUCACCCAAGUAAUCAAUAAUCCCUUUUGUGUCUUCCCUAAAGCAAAGGAUUCUAUCAGCUGCUUGCUUCAUUUGAAUCCAGUUGACAGUUACAUUUACUAGCUGUUCGAAGUUUUAUGGGUGGCUACUGUUUAGUAUUAGUAACAUUAAGCUUCAUCUGAUUUAAGUAAAAGAAAUAUUAAGGGAAAAACGACUCUUUGGAAACUAACAUAAACAUCAUGGUAUAGGAGUUAUAUAUAUGGUAUAUGGUAUAACUCCUAUACCAUGAUAAACAUGUACCAAUCCUUUACACACAAAACAACAACAAAAGAAGAGCUUGUUAUGGUGCUGUAAUAGUAUAUUUGCAGAAUUGCAAAAUUGCUUGCCUGAAGAAUGUACUCAGGAUUGAAAAAUGUUCACAGCAAAAACGUCUAGUUUCAAUUCUAAACGUCAAAUAAACAGAUUUCCGGGCAAGCCGGUCAUGAAGGAAAUGGAAGAAUAUUCUCUGUAUUACAUGGCAAGAAGAAUACAUCCUUGACGUCACCUCUGUGCUGCAGAAAAAUCAGCAAAUCUACAUCCUAAUUUUCUGCUGUUCCGUCAGUCACUCCAAUGCUUUCGACAACAGGACAUCAGCAGCAUUCUUCAAUCAGACUGCUCCUGUUUGUUUUGAAGAUGUAUUGCUUGUCAUGCCUGAAUUACGUUGUUUCCCUACUUCAUUGGACAGCAGACUUAGAUCACAUGUCGACUGUGAAAAAGAUCAUCUUUGUUACCGAAAAUGGCUCUCUCCAUUCGCGACACCAGACCUCCCCAGUGUGUCAUUCUGAUGCAGAGCUCCAUAAAUGAAGUUGAACGUUUUGAACCAUCUCAGGCCAAAGCUGAAGUUCUAGUUCUGUUUUUUCUGCCUGUAAACCCAUGAUUUCAACUAAUUGAAAUGCAAUUUAUUGUGUUGUUUGCAGAGGUAUUAGGAAAGUAGUCGCUUUUUGGCUAGAAUUUCUACGCCAUCAGAUGCAUCAAUAGGAAUGGUGUUCACUUCCUCGACGUCAUUGCUCACAAAACUUUUAUGCAUUGUUCUUAUCUCGAAGUUAUAUCGACUUGAAAAGGCCAAUCGGAAGAGAGUACUCUUUUCCUUGACAUAAAGAACGGAAAUUUAAUGCAUUAGCAAGUCAUCCGCAUCCAACCAGAUCAAACGCUCGAGAUAUCCCGCCUCGUCCGGCAACUUACUAUCCAGCAACGCAUCCAUCAACACUAAUUGACUACAUGCCGAAUCGACGAUUUCCAUACAAGAUGAAUGUUAAAAUCCAAGGAGAUCUGGUGAGCAGGAUGCAACGGACUAUGUCAUGUCAAACCAUUAGCUGAAUACAACGAAUACCAUCAGCAUCAGCUCUCCAGAACGAGAGGUUAAUAAUCAUACUGAAUCAAAAGAGAUACCUAGUUGAACGAGAUUUUAGAAUGAUAACGACUGGAAGUGCAAGUGGAAAUUUCAAAGAACGCUACCUGCACGUUAGAUUUCAUCGCUGAUUCAUCUCGAAGAUAAAAUAAUUAAUUUUUAUAAAUUGAAGUGCAUAUCUGGGCUCCCUUCUUUUCUGUGGUCCCGUUUCCCCUUGACUUGUGAUAAGCCCGUAGGGGGUCAUGCCCCUACUGUGA
This is a long non-coding RNA of Daphnia magna, 1937 nucleotides long. RefSeq lists it as uncharacterized. NCBI's taxonomy places the organism in Eukaryota, Metazoa, Arthropoda, Branchiopoda, Diplostraca, Daphniidae. The transcript has 5 exons. The record is from RefSeq and is a predicted model, not a curated record.